CUUCCGUAGGUGAACCUGCGGAAGGAUCAUUACCGAGUGUAGGGUUCCUAGCGAGCCCAACCUCCCACCCGUGUUUACUGUACCUUAGUUGCUUCGGCGGGCCCGCCAUUCAUGGCCGCCGGGGGCUCUCAGCCCCGGGCCCGCGCCCGCCGGAGACACCACGAACUCUGUCUGAUCUAGUGAAGUCUGAGUUGAUUGUAUCGCAAUCAGUUAAAACUUUCAACAAUGGAUCUCUUGGUUCCGGCAUCGAUGAAGAACGCAGCGAAAUGCGAUAACUAGUGUGAAUUGCAGAAUUCCGUGAAUCAUCGAGUCUUUGAACGCACAUUGCGCCCCCUGGUAUUCCGGGGGGCAUGCCUGUCCGAGCGUCAUUGCUGCCCAUCAAGCACGGCUUGUGUGUUGGGUCGUCGUCCCCUCUCCGGGGGGGACGGGCCCCAAAGGCAGCGGCGGCACCGCGUCCGAUCCUCGAGCGUAUGGGGCUUUGUCACCCGCUCUGUAGGCCCGGCCGGCGCUUGCCGAACGCAAAUCAAUCUUUUUCCAGGUUGACCUCGGAUCAGGUAGGGAUACCCGCUGAACUUAAGCAUAUCAAUAAGGCGGAGGA
RNAcentral lists this ribosomal RNA (598 nucleotides) under Aspergillus flavus. RNAcentral's name for it is "eukaryotic LSU rRNA". The stretch from base 215 to 368 matches the Rfam family "5.8S ribosomal RNA". The record is from RNAcentral. Lineage: Eukaryota; Fungi; Ascomycota; Eurotiomycetes; Eurotiales; Aspergillaceae.